UGCAAGUCGCACGAGAAAGGGAGCAAUCCUGAGUAAAGUGGCGUACGGGUGAGUAACACGUGGAUCAUCUACCUUUUAGUGGGGAAUACCUCCGGGAAACUGGAGACAAUACCGCAUAAGCUCGUGAGAGGAAAGCCGAAAGGCGCUGAAAGAGGAGUCCGCGGCUGAUUAGCUAGUUGGCGGGGUAACGGCCCACCAAGGCGAAGAUCGGUAGCCGGCCUGAGAGGGCACACGGCCACACUGGCACUGAAACACGGGCCAGACUCCUACGGGAGGCAGCAGUGGGGAAUCUUGCACAAUGGAGGAAACUCUGAUGCAGCGACGCCGCGUGAGCGAUGAAGCCCUUCGGGGUGUAAAGCUCCUUCGACGGGAACGAUAAUGACGGUACCCGAAGAAGAAGCUGCGGCUAACUACGUGCCAGCAGCCGCGGUAAUACGUAGGCAGCAAGCGUUGUUCGGAAUUACUGGGCGUAAAGAGUGUGUAGGCGGUGUUCUAAGUCUGUUGUGAAAUCUCCCGGCUCAACUGGGAGGGUGCGGCGGAGACUGGAAUGCUAGAGUAUGGGAGAGGUAAGCGGAAUUCCUGGUGUAGCGGUGAAAUGCGUAGAUAUCAGGAGGAACACCUGUGGUGUAGACAGCUUACUGGACCAUGACUGACGCUGAGACACGAAAGCGUGGGUAGCAAACAGGAUUAGAUACCCUGGUAGUCCACGCCCUAAACGAUGCAUACUUGGUGUGAGCCAUUCAUUUGGUUCGUGCCGGAGCUAACGCGUUAAGUAUGCCGCCUGGGGAGUAC
RNAcentral lists this ribosomal RNA (792 nucleotides) under uncultured bacterium gp3. Its description in RNAcentral is "bacterial SSU rRNA". It matches the Rfam family "Bacterial small subunit ribosomal RNA", at positions 56 to 883 of the family's 1533-position model. The record is from RNAcentral.